Molecule: transfer RNA, 72 nt
Filed under: Camelus bactrianus (Bactrian camel)
Lineage: Eukaryota; Metazoa; Chordata; Mammalia; Artiodactyla; Camelidae
Also listed under: 2 other names
Rfam family: tRNA
About the family: Transfer RNA (tRNA) molecules are approximately 80 nucleotides in length.
Source: Rfam by way of RNAcentral
GAGGGUAUAGCUCAGUGGUAGACUAUAUGCCUAGCAUGCACAAGGUCCUGGGUUCAAUCCCCAGUACCUCCA